Molecule: unclassified non-coding RNA, 318 nt
Filed under: plant metagenome
Description: partial contains 5.8S ribosomal RNA, internal transcribed spacer 2, and large subunit ribosomal RNA
Rfam family: 5.8S ribosomal RNA (bases 1-105)
Source: RNAcentral
GAAAUGCGAUAAGUAAUGUGAAUUGCAGAAUUCAGUGAAUCAUCGAGUCUUUGAACGCACAUUGCGCCCAUUAGUAUUCUAAUGGGCAUGCCUGUUCGAGCGUCAUUUCAACCCUCAAGCCUUAGUUGCUUGGUGUUGGGAGCUUAUCCUGCCGCAAGGCGGGACAACUCCUUAAAUUUAUUGGCGGAGUCGCGGUGACCCCAAGCGCAGUAAUUCCUUUUCUCGCUUUAGGUGUUAACGCUGGCUUCUAGCCAUUAAACCCCCUAAUUUUCUAAUGGUUGACCUCGGAUCAGGUAGGACUACCCGCUGAACUUAAGC